AAUCCAUAGGUUAAUGAGGCGAACCGGGGGAACUGAAACAUCUAAGUACCCCGAGGAAAAGAAAUCAACCGAGAUUCCCCCAGUAGCGGCGAGCGAACGGGGAGGAGCCCAGAGCCUGAAUCAGCAUGUGUGUUAGUGGAAGCGUCUGGAAAGGCGCGCGAUACAGGGUGACAGCCCCGUACACAAAAGCGCAUGUGCUGUGAGCUCGAUGAGUAGGGCGGGACACGUGGUAUCCUGUCUGAAUAUGGGGGGACCAUCCUCCAAGGCUAAAUACUCCUGACUGACCGAUAGUGAACCAGUACCGUGAGGGAAAGGCGAAAAGAACCCCGGCGAGGGGAGUGAAAAAGAACCUGAAACCGUGUACGUACAAGCAGUGGGAGCACCCUUUGGGUGUGACUGCGUACCUUUUGUAUAAUGGGUCAGCGACUUAUAUUCUGUAGCAAGGUUAACCGAAUAGGGGAGCCGGAGGGAAACCGAGUCUUAAUUGGGCGUUAAGUUGCAGGGUAUAGACCCGAAACCCGGUGAUCUAGCCAUGGGCAGGUUGAAGGUUGGGUAACACUAACUGGAGGACCGAACCGACUAAUGUUGAAAAAUUAGCGGAUGACCUGUGGCUGGGGGUGAAAGGCCAAUCAAACCGGGAGAUAGCUGGUUCUCCCCGAAAGCUAUUUAGGUAGCGCCUCGUGAAUUCAUCUCCGGGGGUAGAGCACUGUUUCGGCUAGGGGGCCAUCCCGGCUUACCAACCCGAUGCAAACUGCGAAUACCGGAGAAUGUUAUCACGGGAGACACACGGCGGGUGCUAACGUCCGUCGUGAAGAGGGAAACAACCCAGACCGCCAGCUAAGGUCCCAAAGUCAUGGUUAAGUGGGAAACGAUGUGGGAAGGCCCAGACAGCCAGGAUGUUGGCUUAGAAGCAGCCAUCAUUUAAAGAAAGCGUAAUAGCUCACUGGUCGAGUCGGCCUGCGCGGAAGAUGUAACGGGGCUAAACCAUGCACCGAAGCUGCGGCAGCGACACUGUGUGUUGUUGGGUAGGGGAGCGUUCUGUAAGCCUGUGAAGGUGUGUCGUGAGG
This 1067-nucleotide ribosomal RNA is filed under the name Salmonella enterica. RNAcentral's name for it is "partial 23S ribosomal RNA". It matches the Rfam family "Bacterial large subunit ribosomal RNA", at positions 161 to 1268 of the family's 2925-position model. The record is from RNAcentral. Lineage: Bacteria; Pseudomonadati; Pseudomonadota; Gammaproteobacteria; Enterobacterales; Enterobacteriaceae.